This 460-nucleotide ribosomal RNA is filed under the name uncultured bacterium. RNAcentral describes it as "partial 16S ribosomal RNA". It matches the Rfam family "Bacterial small subunit ribosomal RNA", at positions 338 to 795 of the family's 1533-position model. The record is from RNAcentral.
CCUACGGGGGGCUGCAGUGAGGAAUAUUGGUCAAUGGACGAGAGUCUGAACCAGCCAAGUAGCGUGAAGGAUGACUGCCCUAUGGGUUGUAAACUUCUUUUAUAUGGGAAUAAAACGUUCCACGUGUGGGAUUUUGUAUGUACCAUAUGAAUAAGGAUCGGCUAACUCCGUGCCAGCAGCCGCGGUAAUACGGAGGAUCCGAGCGUUAUCCGGAUUUAUUGGGUUUAAAGGGAGCGUAGGUGGAUUGUUAAGUCAGUUGUGAAAGUUUGCGGCUCAACCGUAAAAUUGCAGUUGAAACUGGCAGUCUUGAGUACAGUAGAGGUGGGUGGAAUUCGUGGUGUAGCGGUGAAAUGCGUAGAUAUCACGAAGAACUCCGAUUGCGAAGGCAGUUCACUGGACUGCAACUGACACUGAGGCUCGAAAGUGUGGGUAUCAAACAGGAUUAGAUACCCGAGUAGUC